This 292-nucleotide ribosomal RNA is filed under the name uncultured bacterium. Its description in RNAcentral is "partial 16S ribosomal RNA". It matches the Rfam family "Bacterial small subunit ribosomal RNA", at positions 505 to 796 of the family's 1533-position model. The record is from RNAcentral.
GUGUCAGCAGCCGCGGUAAUACGUAGGGUGCGAGCGUUAAUCGGAAUUACUGGGCGUAAAGCGUGCGCAGGCGGCGCGUUAAGACAGGUGUGAAAGCCCCGAGCUUAACUUGGGAAUUGCGCUUGUGACUGGCGUGCUGGAGUGUGGCAGAGGGAGGUGGAAUUCCACGUGUAGCAGUGAAAUGCGUAGAGAUGUGGAGGAACACCGAUGGCGAAGGCAGCCUCCUGGGCCAGCACUGACGCUCAUGCACGAAAGCGUGGGGAGCAAACAGGAUUAGAUACCCCCGUAGUCC